UUUGGUAUCGAUUCGUCCGUCUCCGCCGUCAGACCUCCGCCUGCGCCACCUCUCUACCUCCCCCUCCGCCGCCAUCCCGCAUCUGCCUGCAUCGCAGCCACCAAACCCGGUCUUCAAAGGGACGGUAGGUUACGAACUUCCUCAUUUUCCCGUCUUUGGUUCUAUUUAAGCCGGACACAAUUGUUUUCGUUCUUCUCCGGCAACGGCGCCGGCGAAAUUCGUAGUCCGUGCAGGCCUCGCAGUGGUCUCCCUCCCCAAAUCUGUAUUUUAGAGGCCCAACUGGUGCGGUGUGGUUCUUUUCCUUUCUCUUGAUCCCAGAACACCUAGAGAAAUUGACGCUUCAGUCUCCAAAGUCUGGCGGCGGCGUCAGCGGUGCGGGAGCUAGAGGAACGAAAAGGUCAAGAUGGAAAAUUCCGACUGGCUGUCGAGCUCCUGAGAACCGUCUCCUCGACACAUGCUUUGCCUUUGCCUGAGGCUCUUUGUCGAGCAAGUAAAUCAAAAAUCCUAUUUUCACCGCUCAGUUCUCCAUCCUGUGGAGUUCAUUACAAAAAUCCCAGCCUAUCAGCUUUAUUCGUAAUCAUCACAUCAAGAAAAUAUAGGGACAGCUGAUUCGUGUUGUUAGGACGUGAGAUCUUAAAACCAUGGUUUCAGUUUUAGCGAUUUUGCAGGCUUGCAGCAUGGAGGAAGCAUUGAUAUGAUGAAUUCGUUCGUGGCUCGGUUCAGGGGAAGUUAUCAGUCUGGUGAUUAGUAAUAUUUUUUGCAGUACAGAUGAAGUCGUGGUGGACGAAAGAGGUGAGAACUGAUGAGAUUUAAUUAGUUAGGGUUGGUUCAUGUUCUUGGCUACUGCAAGUUUGAUCAGCAUGAUGGAAAAAAUUGAAGCCAUACUGUAGUUGGAGACAUUAUUUUGGUUCCCGCAUUUAGAACUGGUUAUGGUUUUUGUUCAUUUGAAAUUAGUAUUCCCGUCAACCAUCUCACAUACAAAGCAUGCAAAUACACUGGUGCAUACCCGUUCCAACUAUGGAAGCAGAUCAAGUCACACUUUAAGUUGAACUGUUCAUGUCAUUUUGUAUCUGCUAUUGGUAACCAGAGGCCAUGCUUUUGAACCUUUACUGAAAAAUUUUCUAUACAAUGUCAACUCUCUUAAUGUGUCGCUAAUAAUUUACUGCCAUUUCCAGGUUUUCUAAUUAAGAUGUUUUAAUCCGCUAAAAUAGCCUACAAAAACAUCUUAUGUUUUGGGAGGGAUGUAGUAUUUCUUAUGGCAUGACACGGCUUUCGCAAAUUUAUCAGAUGUAGAGCAUAUUAUCUUACAUUAAUGGCUGGAUUCUCUUGAGGCUAUUGUAGUGUGAUCUAAUGAAAGGAGUUCCAGAUGUCUUAAAUUCAGAUGAUCUUAAUGUUUUUGCACAACUUUUGAUUGGAGAUCUAGCUGUCAUGCUCAAGGAUGGGAGCAGUGCCUUUGCAUGGCUGCCUGUAACACUCAAGUGCACUCGAAAAAAUUAGAGCCUUUACGCUAGAGAAUCUAAUAAAGCCUUUACGCUAGAGAAUCUAAGAAGCCUUUCUUCUCUGUGCAGCAAUUAUGGGGGUACACUGAGUAAUAGUAAAAUGGAUCUAGCUAGGAGCCUUCUCAAUGUUUUGACAUCCUGAUCCGUCUGAUUUGAUCAUUCAACGGCACUGAUCUUCCAGGCGUCUUACCGAGCGUAGCUGCGCACAGUUUUGCCCUACCACCGUGCCAAUCUUGCUCGGCCCAUAAUGGAGGGCGGCUGCCUCCCGAGAGCAAACCCCUUUGUCUUCUCGUGAAACAGGCCACAUCUUCCGAACCGGGUGGCUGCUUGAGGGCCUCUUAUUUCCCAGGCUACCUUUUACUCGUGUACGAUCAGCCGUUACAAUCGCCCCCACAAAACCGACCCCAAUCGGUCGAGCAACUCGGGGGUAGCAACGGUGUUUCAGCAUGCGAAGGACCUGGUGGAGAAGGAGAUGAGCGGGAGCGACGCUGCACAUGGCGCUCCUUGUCCGCAACCACGCGCUCUCUCUUGCCCUCGCAGUUGACCAGGGCCUGGCCUUUCCUCCAUCGCCCGCCUCAUGGUAACUACUCUCAUCUAUUAUUCUUUUCUCUUAUGGUUCUUCCACAUGCUACGAGAAAUCACAUCUCCAUAAUUUUCGGUUUUCAUCCGAGGGGGAUGAUUCCUGCAGUUAGAAUUGGGCGCUUUUCUGCAUGAAAUCCGACAUGGGUAUGUCUAAUGCUUUGUUUUGAUUUUUUUGGAUGUGAUACUAUUCAGGAACCGGAAAGAAUGGAGUGCAAAUAAUUGGUGUACUAACAAUCCAACAUGACAUUUAGUAUUUAUGUUGGAAGAUUCAUUUAGUUUUGAUGUCAGGGUCUGCCUUCUGUAGUUGGUCAUUGCGGACUCGGUUGUGCGGGCUUCCAGCUGCACAGCUGUUCUCUGCCUUGCCUCGGAAGGCCACCAGGCACCGCGCAGCGGCCGCUAUGUUUUUGUACGAUUAAUUGCAAAGAAGAAUCAUGAAGGCAGAUGGGGGUGAUAUUGCCGCUCUGCUCCGUUGAGAUCAUGGUGAGAAUGAUCGUACUACACUGUCCUAUGUAUGCUUUUUCUUUGAGAAAAUGGUGAGCAUUUGCUUCAACUUUUAUUUAUUUUUCCUUGCAAUACACAAUGAGAUUAUCUUGCAUUUCUUUUGUCUCAUUUGUGCUCAAUUAAUUAAGGUUUUUGGGUUACCUAGAGUGAUCACGGUCGUGGAUAAGCGACCAUAUUGUACACUUGUGUCAAGACCUUAUGUCCCAGUUUUCCAAGAUUUGGAACUACAAAAUUUACAAUGUUUAUUGAAAAUGAGUGACUAGAACACAUCUCUCUAUUAUUCCGGUUUUGUUGUGUGAUAGCAACCUAUGUAAUUUGGACUCUGUGAAGGGUAUGCAGCUCAUUAUUGCUAAGGUUGAAGUUGGAGACAAAUGAAGUUACGAUUCAGCUAUAUAUAGAUUGUACCAUGGUGUCAUGGCGGCAGAACGAUCAUUUUUCUAGAAGAUCAUUUAAAUGGAUUGCGAGCUAACACAUUUAUUUCAUAAACACAAAAUCUUCCAGCAUGUCAAAGGUAUUUGAUACGUCUCAAACGUAUCUAUAAUUUCUUAUGUUCCAUGCUACUUUUAUGAUGAUACUCACAUGUUUUAUACACACUUUAUGUCAUUAUUAUGCAUUUUCCGGCACUAACCUAUUGACAAGAUGCUGAAGAGCCAGUUGUUGUUUUCUGCUGUUUUUGGUUUCAGAAAUCCUACAAAGGAAAUAUUCUCGGAAUUGGACGAAAUCAACGCCCAGUGUCUUAUUUUUCCACGAAGCUUCUAGAAGACCGAAGAGCAUACGAAGUGGGGCCACGAGGUGGCCAGACCAUAGGGUGGCGCGGCCUGCCUUGGGCCCGCGCCGGCCUAUGGUGUGGGCCCCUCGCGCCGCCUCCAACCCUACCCUUCCGCCUACUUAAAGCCUUCGUCGCGAAAACCCCUGUACCGAGAGCCAUGAUACGGAAAACCUUUCAGAGACGCCGCCGCCGCCAAUCCAUCUCGGAGGAUUCAGGAGAUCGCCGCCGGCACCCUGCCGGAGAGGGGAAUCAUCUCCCGGAGGACUCUUCAUCGCCAUGAUCGCCUCCGGAUCGAUGUGUAAGUAGUUCACCCCUGGACUAUGGGUCCAUAGCAGUAGCUAGAUGGUUGUAUUCUCCUCAUGUGCUAUCAUUGUAGAUCUUGUGAGCUGCUGCUGGCGUGUAGUUGACGUGGGAGUUAGAAAUCUAUGUGGUGUAACUUUUCUUCAGGUCCCCGGCAACGGCGCCAGAAAAAGAGCUGCUGACGUGGGAGUUGGAUUGCAACGGCCCCAGAAAGUAGCUUCCUUGUGA
Long non-coding RNA from Lolium perenne, 3879 nucleotides. RefSeq lists it as uncharacterized. The record is from RefSeq and is a predicted model, not a curated record. NCBI's taxonomy places the organism in Eukaryota, Viridiplantae, Streptophyta, Magnoliopsida, Poales, Poaceae.